CACACAGGCAGUCUGAAACAGCCACUGUAACCCCUAAUCACAACCCCGAAGGCUGGACAUCAAAUGCUGCAAUGUUGAAAACAGAUGAUCAGAGACUGAGGCCAUCAGAGCAGACAGCUGAGAGGCAGGAAGACACGAUUUGGCACAGGAGCGAGACAAUGAGACUGUUAGACCGGCACGAACUGUUCUUCACCAGACUUGAACCCAGUCAUCAUGGUCAACUCCUCUCUGCAUCUCAAGUUUGUUGACAUACAUGGUGAGCUACUGGACAAACUGGUACCUCCAUACUGAGAUAAGCGGUCUUGUAAAUGCAAAAAGUAACGGCGUCAUACCACCCCACAGCAUUCAUUUUAAAGACGUACUUCUGGCUACAUAAUUCGCAAUCUCCAGAAACAUAUAUACCGUAGGGCUACGUUUUCAGAAUGAGCCUAUGCUGGUUUAAAAACAGCGGGUUUCCUCAAUUUUUUUAAGUCAGCUAAUUGCUAAUUUCAGUGACUACUGACUGAGUUACAUGUUGAAUAUUGAAUAUAU
This is a long non-coding RNA of Danio aesculapii, 531 nucleotides long. RefSeq lists it as uncharacterized. The transcript is spliced from 3 exons. Lineage: Eukaryota; Metazoa; Chordata; Actinopteri; Cypriniformes; Danionidae. The record is from RefSeq and is a predicted model, not a curated record.